UACGGAGGAUGCGAGCGUUAGCCGGAAUGCUUGGGCGUAAAGAGUCCGCAGGUGGAUGUGUGUGUCUAUUGUCAAAGCAUCAUGCUUAACAUGAUAAAGGCAGUAGAAACUACACGACUAGAGUGCGUUCGGGGCAGAGGGAAUUCCUGGUGUAGCGGUGAAAUGCGUAGAGAUCAGGAAGAACACCGGUGGCGAAAGCGCUCUGCUAGGCCGCAACUGACACUGAGGGACGAAAGCUAGGGGAGCGAAUGGG
RNAcentral lists this ribosomal RNA (253 nucleotides) under uncultured bacterium. RNAcentral describes it as "partial 16S ribosomal RNA". It matches the Rfam family "Bacterial small subunit ribosomal RNA", at positions 524 to 776 of the family's 1533-position model. The record is from RNAcentral.